Molecule: ribosomal RNA, 513 nt
Filed under: Schmidingerella taraikaensis
Lineage: Eukaryota; Ciliophora; Spirotrichea; Tintinnida; Rhabdonellidae
Description: partial Bacterial large subunit ribosomal RNA
Rfam family: Bacterial large subunit ribosomal RNA
Source: RNAcentral
UAAGUUACUAAGAGCACACGGGGGAUGCCUAGGCUCUCAAAGGCGAAGAAAGACGUGAUAAGCUGCGAUAAGGUUCGGGGAGAAGCAAAUAUUUUGUGAUCCGGACAUUUCUGAAUGGGGAAACCCGUCUGGUUGAAGACCAGUCAUCCGAAAGGAGGCAAACGCACUGAACUGAAACAUCUAAGUAGGUGCAGGAAGAGAAAACAAUAGUGAUUUCCGUAGUAGCGGCGAGCGAAGUGGAAAUAGCCCAAACCGUUUUUGUUUCGGCAAAAUCGGGGUUGUAGGACUACAAUAUCCGUAAUAAAGUAUAGUGGAACAAGUUGGAAAGCUUGGCAAUAUGAGUGAUAGCCUCGUACACGAAAUGCUUUAGAAGGUAGUAGUAUCCUGAGUAGGGCGGGACAUGUGAAAUCCUGUCUGAAUCUGCCAGAACCAUCUGGUAAGGCUAAAUACUCUUGAGAGACCGAUAGCGAACUAGUACCGUGAGGGAAAGGUGAAAAGAACCCUGAACAAGGG